CAAUAGCGUAUAUUAAAGUUGUUGCGGUUAAAAAGCUCGUAGUUGGAUUUCUGCCGAGGACGUCCGGUCCGCCCUCUGGGUGAGUACAUGGCACGGCCUGGGCAUCUUCUUGGGGAACGUAUCUGCACUUGACUGUGUGGUGCGGUAUCCAGGACUUUUACUUUGAGGAAAUUAGAGUGUUUCAAGCAGGCACACGCCUUGAAUACAUUAGCAUGGAAUAAUAAGAUAGGACCUCGGUUCUAUUUUGUUGGUUUCUAGAGCUGAGGUAAUGAUUAAUAGGGAUAGUUGGGGGCAUUCGUAUUUAACUGUCAGAGGUGAAAUUCUUGGAUUUGUUAAGGACGGACUACUGCGAAAGCAUUUGCCAAGGAUGUUUUCAUUGA
RNAcentral lists this ribosomal RNA (380 nucleotides) under uncultured eukaryote. RNAcentral describes it as "partial 18S ribosomal RNA". It matches the Rfam family "Eukaryotic small subunit ribosomal RNA", at positions 592 to 976 of the family's 1831-position model. The record is from RNAcentral.